RNAcentral lists this non-coding RNA (115 nucleotides) under Clostridium collagenovorans. RNAcentral describes it as "FMN sequence". It matches the Rfam family "FMN riboswitch aptamer (RFN element)". From Rfam's summary of the family: The RFN element is a highly conserved domain that is found frequently in the 5'-untranslated regions of prokaryotic mRNAs that encode for flavin mononucleotide (FMN) biosynthesis and transport proteins. This element is a metabolite-dependent riboswitch that directly binds FMN in the absence of proteins. The record is from RNAcentral. Lineage: Bacteria; Bacillati; Bacillota; Clostridia; Eubacteriales; Clostridiaceae. RNAcentral also lists the same sequence under 1 other name.
AUAAAUCUUCAGGGCAGGGUGUAAUUCCCUACCGGCGGUAAAGCCCGCGAGCCGUUAAGGCAGAUUCGGUUAGAUUCCGAAGCCGACAGUAAAGUCUGGAUGAAAGAAGGUUAAU